RNAcentral lists this signal recognition particle RNA (95 nucleotides) under Brevibacterium pityocampae. RNAcentral's name for it is "small signal recognition particle RNA". It matches the Rfam family "Bacterial small signal recognition particle RNA". From Rfam's summary of the family: The signal recognition particle (SRP) is a universally conserved ribonucleoprotein involved in the co-translational targeting of proteins to membranes. The record is from RNAcentral. RNAcentral also lists the same sequence under 5 other names. Lineage: Bacteria; Bacillati; Actinomycetota; Actinomycetes; Micrococcales; Brevibacteriaceae.
GGCGGCUCUCCGUGUGGCGUCAUCCUGCGAACCCCCCAGGACCGAAAGGUAGCAAGGGUAAGAAGGCUCUGGCGGGUGCACGGAGAGUCCUUCAC